AAUAACCAAAUAUCACACUUGGGCUAAGGGUCAAGUUGGUAAUUUUUUUGACAUCUCCCCCCCACCUUGGGUGCCCAGGUUUCAUAUAUGCCUCCAAAAUACAGAGCCUUGAGUACUAGAAGAAAAGCACCUAUACCUAAUAAAAUUAAGUGAACAUACAAAAUUGUAGUCAUUUUAUUUCUAUCUUUCCA
Molecule: antisense RNA, 191 nt
Filed under: Cyrtosia septentrionalis
Lineage: Eukaryota; Viridiplantae; Streptophyta; Magnoliopsida; Asparagales; Orchidaceae
Description: Antisense RNA which regulates isiA expression
Rfam family: Antisense RNA which regulates isiA expression
Source: Rfam by way of RNAcentral